Non-coding RNA from Microcebus murinus (gray mouse lemur), 1760 nucleotides. NCBI's taxonomy places the organism in Eukaryota, Metazoa, Chordata, Mammalia, Primates, Cheirogaleidae. The record is from RefSeq and is a predicted model, not a curated record.
UAUUUGCUUGUUCUUUAAGGUCUGUCUCCUCCUUGAGCUUACAGAGGAGCUGCUUUGUUUUGCACACUGUGUGCAGUGUCUAAACAGCACCUGACCCAGAUUAGGUCCUCCCAAUACAGUCUGGAGAACAGGAUCAGUAUCGCAAUGCCAUUUCAAAGAGAGCGCAUAUGCAUGCAACUGCAUACGCAUGAGCCCACACAAAGGAGUCUGCAAGGACACACUCUGAGGUGUUAAGAGAGAUUAUCUCCAGGUGGUAGAGUUAUUUGUAAUUAUAAUUUUAAAAUUUUUCUAUGUUUCCAAAAAAAGUAGGGAUCCCUUGUGUAACAAACAUAUUGAAAACAGAAAACUAAGUCACCCUUUAAAACUGAGCCCCAAAGAGGUUAAGUAAUUUGCCCAAGGUCACACAACUAUUAAGUGGUGGAGCUGGGAUUUGAACCUUGGCAGUCUGGCUCCUCUACACAAUACUCCCUUCCCCAUUCCAUAGGGCCAUCCUCUUUGGGGCCUUUUCCUAAAGAAUCUGUGCCUCAGCCAUGUUUUCCAAAAGCAGCCCUAUCAGAUAGGGGAAACAUGAAUAGUUCCAACCAUUCCUGGAGACACAUAAACCACUGUCAGCAAAACCAGAGGGCAUGAUGAGAUGGCAGAGCAAUUGAGGCUGCAGACCGGGGGUGUUGGAAGUAGGUUAGGGUAUACAGAGAAGAUGCUCGGCCUGUGCUCUCUGUGCUGCUUUCCUGGAGGGGAGGGAAGGAGAGCCUGCUCCCCUCAGCGCUGGAGGGCUGUCUGAGGAUGUGCUCUGGGCAGAUGCUGUGGGAGAACAGGUUUGGGGGGAACAGAGGGACUGGAGAGGACCCUGCCCCCAGCUAACUGGUGCACAACAGGAAACAAUGGCUGUUUUGACUUCCGUUUGUGGUACCAUCCCCACCUCCCCAGCAAGUAUGACAGUGUUAGAUCAUGGGGAGGGAGACAUAGGGGUGGAGUACCAGAAGAGAGACCUGGUGGUGGUGUUUCAGGCCCUUAUCUUAGGCCCUUAGCAGCUCCUUAUCUACAAGAAUGUUCUAGCAGCAGCAACGGUCAUACUGAUGCCUCCCAGCUGCACAGUGGCCCUGUACACACGUUCCUUCUCUCUGAAGUUCAGGCACUCAGGCUGCUGUGAACACCCUGAUGAUCUCCUGCAAGGUCUUCUCCAGUAUGGUGAGAUUCAUCAUUCAUCAAUGCGUGCAAAUGUAGUUCAUUUUCACUGCCAUCUUCAGAGAGGUAAGAGGAAACAGACUUCAAUGAAAGGGCUCCAUUGAUAGGCCACUGAGUGUCACCUGAAGUGGAGGAGACACAGGCUCUGCCAGGCCUGCCGGGACAAAGGAAGUGCUCAGAUGCCAGCUGUCCGGCCACUAGUUCCCCACAUGUGCCACAUGACAACAGAAAGAAGAAAGAAAAUCUACCCAUGGGCUGGGCCAGUCACUUUUCCAUGUUACAUAUAUUGUUCCAUUUAAGGCUCAUAUAAUUUGAAAGAGAUGGUGUCUCCAUAUGUUACUCAGGCUGGUCUCGAACUCCAGCCUCCAGCGAUCCUCCCAUACUGGCCUUCCAAAGUCCUGCGAUUACAGGUGUGAACCACCCUGCCCAGCCUUGUGCUUUUGUAUACAUUCUCAAAUUUCACCUUUGAGGUACCUAUGAGAUCUCCAAAUGGAGAUGUAGUUUAUUUCAAUAUAAGCCUGGAGUUCUUGGAGAGGUCAGGGAUGGAGAAACAAAGGUGGUGUCACCAGUGCACA